AGUCCUGGGGGGGAAGGUUGCCCCCCUUUUCGGGUUUACAACCCGGGGAUAUGUAAAACGCACAUAACCCUGGUGUUGCUAUACCUGGCAGCGGGU
RNAcentral lists this transfer RNA (96 nucleotides) under Equus caballus (horse). RNAcentral describes it as "partial transfer RNA-Thr". Lineage: Eukaryota; Metazoa; Chordata; Mammalia; Perissodactyla; Equidae. The record is from RNAcentral.